This 478-nucleotide ribosomal RNA is filed under the name uncultured bacterium. RNAcentral's name for it is "partial 16S ribosomal RNA". It matches the Rfam family "Bacterial small subunit ribosomal RNA", at positions 28 to 523 of the family's 1533-position model. The record is from RNAcentral.
GACGAACGCUGGCGGCGUGCUUAACACAUGCAAGUCGAACGGUAAGGCCCUUCGGGGUACACGAGUGGCGAACGGGUGAGUAACACGUGGGUGAUCUGCCCUGCACUUCGGGAUAAGCCUGGGAAACUGGGUCUAAUACCGGAUAGGACCCUGGGAUGCAUGUCCUGGGGUGGAAAGCUUUUGCGGUGUGGGAUGGGCCCGCGGCCUAUCAGCUUGUUGGUGGGGUGAUGGCCUACCAAGGCGACGACGGGUAGCCGGCCUGAGAGGGUGACCGGCCACACUGGGACUGAGAUACGGCCCAGACUCCUACGGGAGGCAGCAGUGGGGAAUAUUGCACAAUGGGCGCAAGCCUGAUGCAGCGACGCCGCGUGAGGGAUGACGGCCUUCGGGUUGUAAACCUCUUUCAGCACCGACGAAGCGCAAGUGACGGUAGGUGCAAGAGAGGGACCGGCCAACUACGUGCCAGCCGCCGCAGUAA